UGGGGCGUAGCCAAGUGGUAAGGCAACGGGUUUUGGUCCCGCUAUUCGGAGGUUCGAAUCCUUCCGUCCCAGA
This 73-nucleotide transfer RNA is filed under the name Lactuca sativa (garden lettuce). RNAcentral describes it as "tRNA-Gln". It matches the Rfam family "tRNA". From Rfam's summary of the family: Transfer RNA (tRNA) molecules are approximately 80 nucleotides in length. RNAcentral also lists the same sequence under 19 other names. Lineage: Eukaryota; Viridiplantae; Streptophyta; Magnoliopsida; Asterales; Asteraceae. The record is from RNAcentral.